Gopherus evgoodei (Goodes thornscrub tortoise) is the source of this 212-nucleotide long non-coding RNA. RefSeq lists it as uncharacterized. The transcript has 3 exons. The record is from RefSeq and is a predicted model, not a curated record. NCBI's taxonomy places the organism in Eukaryota, Metazoa, Chordata, Testudines, Testudinidae.
CACCUGUUGCAGAUGUACGUAAGUGGUUGAGACUAAGUAAAGGUUAGCUUUAAGUGAAAGCACUCUUGUGUUGUCCUGUUUGUGCAGCCAUCUAUCGAUCAGACAGCUGUGUCUCCCUUGAUUUAUUUCCUGACACCACCUCACACAGAGUAAAAGUUACCAAGAACUUUGGGUUUAAAGAACCCCAGGUAAUAGGUGCUCUACUCUGGCUC